GCAGCAGCCGCGGUAAUACAGAGGGUGCGAGCGUUAAUCGGAUUUACUGGGCGUAAAGCGUGCGUAGGCGGCUUUUUAAGUCGGAUGUGAAAUCCCUGAGCUUAACUUAGGAAUUGCAUUCGAUACUGGGAAGCUAGAGUAUGGGAGAGGAUGGUAGAAUUCCAGGUGUAGCGGUGAAAUGCGUAGAGAUCUGGAGGAAUACCGAUGGCGAAGGCAGCCAUCUGGCCUAAUACUGACGCUGAGGUACGAAAGCAUGGGGAGCAAACAGGAUUAGAUACCCGAGUAGUCCCUGUCUCUUAUAC
This 302-nucleotide ribosomal RNA is filed under the name uncultured bacterium. Its description in RNAcentral is "partial 16S ribosomal RNA". It matches the Rfam family "Bacterial small subunit ribosomal RNA", at positions 508 to 807 of the family's 1533-position model. The record is from RNAcentral.